This 73-nucleotide transfer RNA is filed under the name Dehalococcoidales bacterium. RNAcentral describes it as "tRNA-Ala". It matches the Rfam family "tRNA". Rfam says of the family: Transfer RNA (tRNA) molecules are approximately 80 nucleotides in length. Their secondary structure includes four short double-helical elements and three loops (D, anti-codon, and T loops). The record is from RNAcentral. Lineage: Bacteria; Bacillati; Chloroflexota; Dehalococcoidia; Dehalococcoidales.
GGGGAUAUAGCUCAGCUGGGAGAGCACUGCACUCGCAUUGCAGAGGUCGGGGGUUCGAAUCCCCCUAUCUCCA